AAGAUACGCAUCCAUUAGUCUGCACCUAUAUAUAUUCAAUUCGAACACUGAAACCCAUAAAAUAGAGACACUAUAGCCACUGACACCUAUUUUACUCUUUUUAUACCAAACUAAAGCAAAACAAACCAGACAACAGCAUAAGGCAUGGCUACCAUCAAAUUUUAGUGAAUGCUACAACUGCAGGGACAGUAGUCCACAAAGUUCAGUCAGUCCCAUAAUCAAAUUCAUAAUUGGUUUGAAUUUGAAAGUAUAAUCCAGCAGACCAGCUUCAAUUCCAAACACAGCUAAAUGAUGGCAUAUAAUUUAGCUGAUAAAGGGGCUGCUUCAAAGGGAAAACUAGAAUAUUCUAGCAAACAGGCCAACCGUCUUAGCAGUGACACCAUCAGUAGGUUUCUCCAACAAACUUAUACCAAGAAAUUCUUAGUACACACAUAUGCUCAUAGAUACAUACACACAUUGAUUCACAUAUGCAUGCAUUCAUACAUAUUUACAUAUCUACACACAUACAAAUACACAUAAUAAGGCAUGUUGUGUCUGAAAAAUAGAUAGUUUUGCAUAAAAAAACUGUCUCUAUUAUGAGCAUGGAAAAAGUGAGAAUAAUCUAUAUAGUUGGGCCAACAAUUUCAUUACUAGUCUGCUCAGCAUUUGGUUAAA
This is a long non-coding RNA of Populus euphratica (Euphrates poplar), 654 nucleotides long. RefSeq lists it as uncharacterized. The transcript has 2 exons. The record is from RefSeq and is a predicted model, not a curated record. Lineage: Eukaryota; Viridiplantae; Streptophyta; Magnoliopsida; Malpighiales; Salicaceae.